GACGAACGCUGGCGGCGUGCCUAAUACAUGCAAGUCGAACGCAGUGGGGACGGGUGAGUAACACGUGGGUACCCUCCCAUCAGAGGGGAUAACACGUGGAAACAGGUGCUAAACCGAUAUUGAUGGAUGGACCCGCGGUGCCUUCGCUAGUUGGUGAGGUAACGGCUCACCAAGGCCACGAUGCAUAGCCGGUCUGAGAGGGUGAUCGGCCACACUGGGACUGAGACACGGCCCAGACUCCUACGGGAGGCAGCAGUGGGGAAUAUUGGACAAUGGGCGCAAGCCUGAUCCAGCCAUGCCGCGUGUAUGAAGAAGGCCUUCGGGUUGUAAAGUACUUUCAGCUGGGAAGCGUUACCUGCAGAAGAAGCACCGGCUAACUACGUGCCAGCAGCCGCGGUAAUUC
This 403-nucleotide ribosomal RNA is filed under the name uncultured bacterium. RNAcentral describes it as "partial 16S ribosomal RNA". It matches the Rfam family "Bacterial small subunit ribosomal RNA", at positions 28 to 526 of the family's 1533-position model. The record is from RNAcentral.